Bos taurus (domestic cattle) is the source of this 1243-nucleotide long non-coding RNA. The record is from Ensembl. Lineage: Eukaryota; Metazoa; Chordata; Mammalia; Artiodactyla; Bovidae.
GUGAGUCUGUAUAAAUGGUGGCCGCCCUUUGGGGGGCGGGGAGUGGUGAUUCUCCUGACUGUAUCAUAAAGCCACAGACAGGGCUUCUUCCCUGGCGGCUCAGCGGCAAAGAAUCCGCCUGCCAAUGCAGGAGAUAGGGGUUCAAUCCCUGAUCAGUGAAGAUCCCACAUGCAGUGGAGCAAACAAGCUGUGUGCCACAACUACCGAGCCUGUGCUCUAGUCUGGCAGCCACAACUACCGAGCCCACCUUAAUGCGAAGCGUGCUCUGCGAACAAGAGCAGCCAGCGCCAUGAGAAGCCCGAGCGCUGCAACUCAAGUAACCCCGCCCGCCACAGCGAGGGGAAAGCCCACGGGCAGCGAUGAAGACCCAACACAGCCGAAAACAAAUGCAUGAAUAAAAUAUAAAAUGCCUGACUUGGAAAAAAUGAACCAUCAGUAAGUAUUUUUCUCAAAAGCUGCGCACAACAUUGGAAAUCCGACAACCAGGGAUGUGAACAUGCCUGGUUCUGUUGAACCAGAAUCUGGUGAGUGCCUGGGCCAGGUGCUUCUACUCGGGUCUGCUCACAGGGUCCAUCCAGAGCACCUGGAGACUUUGCUCAGUAGCUCCGUCCUCACUGCACAUCCCGGGAGGCUGGGUAGCUGGCUCUACCUGCAACCCGUGGGAAUGUUUGUUUCUGCUGGGUCUGCCUCCCGCGCUGCAAAGUUGGCCCUGUGAAAGCAGCUAAUGGAUAUGUUUGCGUUGCUUCAGUCUCCCCGGGACCCAGCACUGUGCCUGGACCGUGGCAGCAGCCCCGGGAAAGAAACACACAGGCCACCCACAAGAAACACGGUUGCUGUUUAGUUGCUAAGUCGGGCCCGAAGCUUCGCCCACAGACUGAAGCCCGCCAGGCUCCACCAUCCAUGGGACUGUCCAGGCAGGAAGACUGGGGUGCGUUGCCAUCUCCUCCAGGAGAUCUUCCCCAUCCAGGGAUCGAACCCGCGUCUCUCGUGUCUCCUGCAUUGGCAGGUGGAUUCUUGAUCACUAGCCGCCAGUUCACUGACGCUCAAGCACCUCACAGGAAGGCCUCUCAGGACACAGACACUAGGGGUCUCAUCCGAGGAGCUGCUCCCACAGGUGGGCGGUCAGCUCAGCGCUCCAGGCCUGGGGCACUUGCCUCUCCCUGGGCAGGGGUGCCGGACGCCAGGCCUCUCCGGCUGUGCCAGUCACCACUGCUGCCAUGAGCAGACCUUCACAGUAUUUUCU